CCUACGGGUGGCUGCAGUGAGGAAUAUUGGUCAAUGGGCGCGAGCCUGAACCAGCCAAGUAGCGUGAAGGAUGACUGCCCUACGGGUUGUAAACUUCUUUUAUAUGGGAAUAAAGUGUUGCACGUGUGCCUUUUUGUAUGUACUUUAUGAAUAAGGAUCGGCUAACUCCGUGCCAGCAGCCGCGGUAAUACGGAGGAUCCGAGCGUUAUCCGGAUUUAUUGGGUUUAAAGGGAGCGUAGGUGGGUUGUUAAGUCAGUUGUGAAAGUUUGCGGCUCAACCGUAAAAUUGCAGUUGAGACUGGCAGUCUUGAGUACAGUUGAGGUAGGCGGAAUUCGUGGUGUAGCGGUGAAAUGCUUAGAUAUCACGAAGAACUCCGAUUGCGAAGGCAGCUCACUAGACUGCCACUGACACUGAGGCUCGAAAGUGUGAGUAUCAAACAGGAUUAGAUACCCGAGUAGUC
Molecule: ribosomal RNA, 460 nt
Filed under: uncultured bacterium
Lineage: Bacteria
Description: partial 16S ribosomal RNA
Rfam family: Bacterial small subunit ribosomal RNA
Source: RNAcentral